GGACGCAUAGCUCAGCUGGUUAGAGCGCUCGCCUCACACGCGAGAGGUCGCAGGUUCGAGUCCCGCUGUGUCCACCA
This 77-nucleotide transfer RNA is filed under the name Clostridium sp. W14A. RNAcentral describes it as "tRNA-Val". It matches the Rfam family "tRNA". From Rfam's summary of the family: Transfer RNA (tRNA) molecules are approximately 80 nucleotides in length. Lineage: Bacteria; Bacillati; Bacillota; Clostridia; Eubacteriales; Clostridiaceae. The record is from RNAcentral. RNAcentral also lists the same sequence under 2 other names.